Molecule: ribosomal RNA, 419 nt
Filed under: uncultured bacterium
Lineage: Bacteria
Description: bacterial SSU rRNA
Rfam family: Bacterial small subunit ribosomal RNA
Source: RNAcentral
AACGAACGCUGGCGGCAGGCCUAACACAUGCAAGUCGAACGAGAUCUUCGGAUCUAGUGGCGGACGGGUGAGUAACGCGUGGGAACGUGCCCUUCUCUACGGAAUAGUCCUGGGAAACUGGGUUUAAUACCGUAUACGCCCUUCGGGGAAGAAUUUCGGGGAAGGAUCGGCCCGCGUUGGAUUAGGUAGUUGGUGGGGUAAUGGCCUACCAAGCCGACGAUCCAUAGCUGGUUUGAGAGGAUGAUCAGCCACACUGGGACUGAGACACGGCCCAGACUCCUACGGGAGGCAGCAGUGGGGAAUAUUGGACAAUGGACGAAAGUCUGAUCCAGCUAAACCACAUGGGUGAUCCCAAAGGAAGCUUCGGUGCCGUAAAGCCCUUUUCUAUGUGAAGGAAUGACGGUAGCAUAGGAAUAAGU